AUGGAGAUAUGGCAUAAAGCCAGAGAUAGACAGAGAGAGGCAGAAAAGAGGGAGAGAGAAAGACUAAUUAGACUGUCAACUUGAAAAGAUUCACAUCUCAUUUU
Monodelphis domestica (gray short-tailed opossum) is the source of this 104-nucleotide regulatory RNA element. It matches the Rfam family "ctgf/hcs24 CAESAR". Rfam says of the family: The 3' UTR of human connective tissue growth factor/hypertrophic chondrocyte specific 24 (ctgf/hcs24) mRNA has been shown to repress ctgf gene expression. Reference identified a minimal RNA element, predicted to form a stable secondary structure, which acts as a post-transcriptional cis-acting element of structure-anchored repression (CAESAR), probably through direct interactions with as yet unknown nuclear factors. The record is from Rfam. NCBI's taxonomy places the organism in Eukaryota, Metazoa, Chordata, Mammalia, Didelphimorphia, Didelphidae.